GUGCUCACUUCAGCAGCACAUACACUGAAACUGGAACAAUACAGAGAUUAGCAUGUCCCCUGCACAAGGAUGACAUGCAAAUUGUUGAAGCGUUCCAGACUUCA
This is a small nuclear RNA of Pteronotus mesoamericanus, 104 nucleotides long. Lineage: Eukaryota; Metazoa; Chordata; Mammalia; Chiroptera; Mormoopidae. The record is from RefSeq and is a predicted model, not a curated record.